Molecule: long non-coding RNA, 254 nt
Filed under: Zea mays
Lineage: Eukaryota; Viridiplantae; Streptophyta; Magnoliopsida; Poales; Poaceae
Description: uncharacterized LOC100383030, transcript variant 2 (LOC100383030)
Source: RNAcentral
ACAACUCUUCCGAGCACGCGGCCGUCUCCUUUGUCAUCAUCAUCAGCUCAGAUCUAGCAGCUUCGCCUUCUCAGGUAUAAUUGGAGUGCUGUCAUAAGUGGAGUGUUGUUAGUUACAUGUGUGCUGAUCAUUCUAAUCACAUUGUUCGUCGUUAAUCAUGUGAAGAAAAUAUUCAAAGUUAUAACUUGAAUUUUUGUUGAAUCUGGCAAUUGUAUGGCCUAGAAUUUAUUGUUCAUUAGUCAGAAAGACUACGU